GAUGAACGCUGGCGGCGUGCCUAAUACAUGCAAGUCGAGCGAACGGACGAGAAGCUUGCUUCUCUGAUGUUAGCGGCGGACGGGUGAGUAACACGUGUAUAACCUACCUAUAAGACUGGGAUAACUUCGGGAAACCGUAGCUAAUACCGUAUAAUAUUUUGAACCGCAUGGUUCAAAAGUGAAAGACGGUCUUGCGGUCACUAAUAGAUGGAUCCGCGCUGCAUUAGCUAGUUGGUAAGGUAACGGCUUACCAAGGCAACGAUGCAUAGCCGACCUGAGAGAGUGAUCGGCCACACUGGAACUGAGACAGGGUCCAGACUCCUACGGGAGGCAGCAGUAGGCAAUCUUCCGCAAUGGGCGAAAGCAUGACGGAGCAACGCCGCGUGAGAGAUGAAGGUCUUCGGUUCGUAAAACUCUGUUAUUAGGGGAGAACAUCUGUCUAAGUAAAUGUGCACAUCUUGACGGUAACUAAUCAGAAAGCCACGGCUAACUACGUG
This 497-nucleotide ribosomal RNA is filed under the name uncultured bacterium. Its description in RNAcentral is "partial 16S ribosomal RNA". It matches the Rfam family "Bacterial small subunit ribosomal RNA", at positions 28 to 507 of the family's 1533-position model. The record is from RNAcentral.